AUUGAACGCUGGCGGCAGGCCUAACACAUGCAAGUCGAGCGGAUGAAGGGAGCUUGCUCCUGGAUUCAGCGGCGGACGGGUGAGUAAUGCCUAGGAAUCUGCCUGGUAGUGGGGGAUAACGUCCGGAAACGGGCGCUAAUACCGCAUACGUCCUGAGGGAGAAAGUGGGGGGUCUUCGGACCUCACGCUAUCAGAUGAGCCUAGGUCGGAUUAGCUAGUUGGUGGGGUAAAGGCCUACCAAGGCGACGAUCCGUAACUGGUCUGAGAGGAUGAUCAGUCACACUGGAACGGAGACACGGUCCAGACUCCUACGGGAGGCAGCAGUGGGGAAUAUUGGACAAUGGGCGAAAGCCUGAUCCAGCCAUGCCGCGUGUGUGAAGAAGGUCUUCGGAUUGUAAAGCACUUUAAGUUGGGAGGAAGGGCAGUAAGUUAAUACCUUGCUGUUUUGACGGUACCAACAGAAUAAGCACCGGCUAACUUCGUG
RNAcentral lists this ribosomal RNA (484 nucleotides) under uncultured bacterium. RNAcentral's name for it is "partial 16S ribosomal RNA". It matches the Rfam family "Bacterial small subunit ribosomal RNA", at positions 30 to 507 of the family's 1533-position model. The record is from RNAcentral.